This 487-nucleotide ribosomal RNA is filed under the name Moraxellaceae bacterium 'ARUP UnID 24'. RNAcentral's name for it is "bacterial SSU rRNA". It matches the Rfam family "Bacterial small subunit ribosomal RNA", at positions 27 to 506 of the family's 1533-position model. The record is from RNAcentral. Lineage: Bacteria; Pseudomonadati; Pseudomonadota; Gammaproteobacteria; Moraxellales; Moraxellaceae.
GAUUGAACGCUGGCGGCAGGCUUAACACAUGCAAGUCGAGCGGAGAGARGUAGCUUGCUACUGAUCUUAGCGGCGGACGGGUGAGUAAUACUUAGGAAUCUGGCUAUUAGUGGGGGACAACAUUUCGAAAGGGAUGCUAAUACCGCAUACGUCCUACGGGAGAAAGCAGGGGAUCAGUAAUGACCUUGCGCUAAUAGAUGAGCCUAAGUCGGAUUAGCUAGUUGGUGGGGUAAAGGCCUACCAAGGCGACGAUCUGUAGCGGGUCUGAGAGGAUGAUCCGCCACACUGGGACUGAGACACGGCCCAGACUCCUACGGGAGGCAGCAGUGGGGAAUAUUGGACAAUGGGGGGAACCCUGAUCCAGCCAUGCCGCGUGUGUGAAGAAGGCCUUAUGGUUGUAAAGCACUUUAAGCGAGGAGGAGGGURCUGGUAUUAAUACUACCAGCUACUGGACGUUACUCGCAGAAUAAGCACCGGCUAACUCUGU